Long non-coding RNA from Rosa rugosa (rugosa rose), 3176 nucleotides. RefSeq lists it as uncharacterized. The transcript has 11 exons. Lineage: Eukaryota; Viridiplantae; Streptophyta; Magnoliopsida; Rosales; Rosaceae. The record is from RefSeq and is a predicted model, not a curated record.
UUCAAUUCCUUUUUCAUAAAUCUUAUCCUCCAUUAGGAAAUCCUUGCUUGGAGAUUUUGCCUCUUGUCAAUGCAAAUAUGGCUACUCACUGCUACCUCCGGUCCAGACGCUCUCCGUCACCGACCUGCACUGCGACGUUUGGGACUUCCGCUACAUCUACCACGGAACUCCCCGGAGGCACUUGCUCACCACCGGCUGCAGCAAGUUCGUCAACCACAAAAGAUGCUCGUCGCCGGCGAUUCUGUGGUGUUUAUGAGCUCCAGAGGCGGGGAGGUGUAGGUCGGGGUAAGGCGGACCGUGAGGGCCAGCCCCGGCGGCGAUUGCAGCAGGUAGAGCUCUCACAUUGGGCUGAAGUCGGAGGAGGAAGGUUCUGGAACUGACGGCUUUAAGAGAAGGCUUUCGGCGGCGCAGGACAUGCCUUUUGAGGUGGUGUAUUAUCCGAAAGCUGGGUGGGCCGGCUUUGUGGAGAAGGCAUUGAAGGUGUAUGCUUCAGGUUACAUGGGAUGAACCUGAAGUUCUGCCGAAUGCUAAGAGGGUGAGCCCAUGGCAAGUUGACUUUGUUGCAUCAACACCUUCUCUUCAUACUGUACCUUCACUUCAUACUGUAUAUCCCCCCACAAAUAGACUCAGAGCUCCACUGAAUCCUGGGCUGCUGAGAAAUGGAGAGGAAGAAUUCAUGAUACCUAUGACCGGAGCAGCUAAUUCACCAAUGGGGCAAUUCAACGCUUCCUUGUUGAACUAUAGCAUUUUUCCUGCUGGCAUGCAGGGAGCCAUUCUGUGUAUCCAAUGUAUCUCAUUUGUUAAAUGAAAAUUCUCCUCGGAUGUGCACCUAUAAUUCCUUUGGCAACAACAACAUGGUGCCAAGGUUGAAGAGGGUGUCUACUGAGUUGAACAUUGGAAGUCCACAGUCUGAUCAAUUAUCACCAGAUAGCCAGAGUAGUCCACAUUCCUCUGGCAUGGAACUUGAUGGGAACCGAAACUGCAACUCGACAAAGGUCGGAAGAAGUUCUUUUCAACUCUUUUGUCAGACCAUUCAACUUGAAGGUGUCAAUGCUGUUGGUUGCACUGGGGACGGUGGCAAUAUAGGGUAUAAUGAAACUGAACUUCUGAACAACCAACUGGAUCUUUCUUAUACCAAACUGCUUGAAAGGAUUGAUGUUCGAGUCUCAGCUGUUGAAGCUUGUACUUUGUAAACUACUUGUGGCAGCUAUGUCAUGCAGUUAAGUUACUGUACAGGCUCUCAAGUCUGGCAGAAGCUGAUUAGGAUUAUACAAUGUGUGUAUUCUGGUCUGUCUAGUUUGUGGUUUUGGACGUCAAAACAAUCAAUCUGUAGACUUGGUUUUCAAGUUUGGAAACUGAGUGUAGAUGCUAAUGCUAGAAGAUGCUAUAUUAUUGUUCUUCAGGUUUACAUGUAAUUUAAAUCUUUACGUGUUUAUUGGAUUCAAUGUAAUUGUGAUGGUUUGGUACUACAUCCCAUUCUGGAAUUCUGGUUUUCCUUGAUAAAAGUGGCAGGGAAUGUGUUUUUGUUUCAUACUUUCGGAUAAAUCUAAUACAGGAGAAUCCGGACCAAGAGGAUGUUCAUUUUUACUUUGUUAGUCAUGGUUCAGUUUGAGGGACGGGCCCAAACCGACUCUAUGACGUUCUCCGUGCUCUAUCGUGUGUAGAGUAGCAGCAUUAUAACAGUUAAACUGAACUUGGGAUGACAUGAAAUGUAUUUUAAACUUUGAAAGUCUAAUUUUCUUGCUAGUCUUCUAUUAGCACAAUCUUUCAAAAAGGCAAAAAAAGAAGAACAACCUUACUCUCUCUACUUAUGAACAGUAACGCGCUUAUGAACAGUGUGCUGGCUAUUUUGCCCCUCUAUUUUUCCUACUUUCACGUUGUUGCCCCCGACAGGUGUUUGCAGCCUGCCACUGCUGUGUGUUCGGUCUGUAGAAAGACAUCUCCAGGAAUAGAAAGAGUGAGAGAGGGUGGGAAAGGUUAAGCACGACGCUCUCUCUGUUCUUCUUUGCUUCGCACGAGAAGAGAGAGGGAGAGCGAAAGGCAACGACUUUUUUAUCCGCUUCUAGGCCAGCUGGUUUUCAUCGGAGUGAGGGGGAUUGCAGCCUUCUUGGAUGUGAUGAGCCCAUCCCAGUUGUAAGAGGCUUUGCUAGGUAUGUUAUUGAUUUUGCCCACCUCCACUUCUAACUAUUUGAAGGAGGGGGAAUGCACCAUGUUAAGUUGGGAUUGCGUCGUCUUCUGGAUUUUGGUGCAUGUUAAUGAAUUAGGCAAGUGUCUUCUGGAUUCAUCUUAUCACGAGAGAUAUGAAAAGCUGGUGGUGUGGGGAUAUUAGCUGUCACCGAUAUCGUUUGGACUAAAUGACAGCCACUGCAAUCAAUUUCUUGGAAGAAGUUGGAGACAUAUUCCUAACAACUCAACAGAACCUUUAGGAGUAAUGGUCUUGAAGUCUUGAGGACUCUUCCCAGAACGCUGACGUUCUACCAACCCAAAUAACUUUCUUCAGCUCUUGAUAAGCCUCUUGCAGUACUUUCUAAAGAGGCCUUGGCAAAGAAACAAGCCACCAAAAUAGGAGAGGCCAUUGAAUUAUUGUCAACAGGAAAGAGCUAAAUUGGUGCAGCUAAAAAGACUAGACAAUGUGUUAGUCAAUCUUACCAGCCAGCGGGGAAUGGCUCUUUCUUGAACCCCUCUCAAUUACAUCUGAUAAAAUCAGAUAUGCAGUUGACAUGCCACAGUUGGCUACUAUUUGGUUGGAGCACAAGGAUUCCUUAGCUGGUAAUUGUGUGAUUGAGUAAAAGCUUGAUCCUUUAAUAGAUCUGAUAACUGCAAAGUGACACCUUUGAAGAUGUAGCAACACCAUCAGAUCAGACCAGCACAAAUGCAUUGGUUCAAUCUGACACAGAAGACAAUUCUGCUCUACAACCCUUUUUCUUUUGCUUUUUGUCAUGCUGCGUAACUUUUUGUGAUAAAGACCAUUCUAUGUUUUUGUAAUGCUAGCGGUCCAUGAAGAACAAUGUUAUAUAUGCUGUGUGCAUAUAACCAGCGGUUGUCAGGAGCAUUCUCUAUGUUUUUUUAUAAUACUAAUGGUCCUUGAAAAACAAUCAACAAAAACAGCAGACAUUUUGUACACCUACUAAUCAAUGUACGUAAGGGCUUUUUUGCUAUUCUUCUUUAUUUUCUCA